GAAAAGAAACCAACAGGGAUUGCCUCAGUAACGGCGAGUGAAGCGGCAACAGCUCAAAUUUGAAAUCUGGUCCUUUUAGGUCCCGAAUUGUAAUUUGUAGAAGAUGCUUCGGGUGUGGCUCCGGUCUAAGUCCCUUGGAACAGGGCGUCAUAGAGGGUGAGAAUCCCGUAUGUGACUGGCUGCCUCCGCCCAUGUGAAGCUCUUUCGACGAGUCGAGUUGUUUGGGAAUGCAGCUCAAAAUGGGUGGUAAAUUUCAUCUAAAGCUAAAUAUUGGCCAGAGACCGAUAGCGCACAAGUAGAGUGAUCGAAAGAUGAAAAGCACUUUGGAAAGAGAGUUAAACAGUACGUGAAAUUGUUGAAAGGGAAGCGCUUGCAAUCAGACUUGCGCGCCGUUGAUCAUCCCCGGUUCUCCGGGGUGCACUCGGCGGCGCUCAGGCCAGCAUCGGUUUCGGUGGUUGGAUAAAGACCUUGGGAAUGUGGCUCCUCUCGGGGAGUGUUAUAGCCCAGGGUGCAAUGCAGCCUACCGGGACCGAGGACCGCGCUUCGGCUAGGAUGCUGGCGUAAUGGUUGUAAGCGACCCGUCUUGAAACACGGACCAAGGAGUCUAACACUUAUGCGAGUGUUUGGGUGUUAAACCCAUACGCGUAAUGAAAGUGAACGGAGGUGAGAACCCUUAAGGGUGCAUCAUCGACCGGUCCUGAAGUUUACGGACGGAUCUGAGUAAGAGCAUAAUUGUUGGGACCCGAAAGAUGGUGAACUAUGCCUGAAUAGGGUGAAGCCAGAGGAAACUCUGGUGGAGGCUCGCAGCGGUUCUGACGUGCAAAUCGAUCGUCAAAUUUGGGUAUAGGGGCGAAAGACU
This 859-nucleotide ribosomal RNA is filed under the name Porodiplodia vitis. RNAcentral's name for it is "partial 28S ribosomal RNA". It matches the Rfam family "Eukaryotic large subunit ribosomal RNA", at positions 56 to 932 of the family's 3401-position model. The record is from RNAcentral. Lineage: Eukaryota; Fungi; Ascomycota; Leotiomycetes; Helotiales; Porodiplodiaceae.